GGGGAUAUAGCUCAAUUGGUAGAGGGCUUGCCUUGCAUGCAUAAGGCACUGGGUUCAAUCCCUAGCACCACCA
This 73-nucleotide transfer RNA is filed under the name Ictidomys tridecemlineatus (thirteen-lined ground squirrel). RNAcentral describes it as "Spermophilus tridecemlineatus (thirteen-lined ground squirrel) tRNA". It matches the Rfam family "tRNA". Rfam says of the family: Transfer RNA (tRNA) molecules are approximately 80 nucleotides in length. The record is from Rfam by way of RNAcentral. Lineage: Eukaryota; Metazoa; Chordata; Mammalia; Rodentia; Sciuridae.